CAGGCCUAACACAUGCAAGUCGAACGAGACCUUCGGGUCUAGUGGCGCACGGGUGCGUAACGCGUGGGAAUCUGCCCUGGGGUACGGAAUAACUCAGAGAAAUUUGAGCUAAUACCGUAUGAUGACGUAAGUCCAAAGAUUUAUCGCCCUGGGAUGAGCCCGCGUAGGAUUAGCUUGUUGGUGAGGUAAAGGCUCACCAAGGCGACGAUCCUUAGCUGGUCUGAGAGGAUGAUCAGCCACACUGGGACUGAGACACGGCCCAGACUCCUACGGGAGGCAGCAGUGGGGAAUAUUGGACAAUGGGCGCAAGCCUGAUCCAGCAAUGCCGCGUGAGUGAUGAAGGCCUUAGGGUUGUAAAGCUCUUUUACCAGGGAUGAUAAUGACAGUACCUGGAGAAUAAGCUCCGGCUAACUCCGUGCCAGCAGCCGCGGUAAU
Molecule: ribosomal RNA, 435 nt
Filed under: uncultured bacterium
Lineage: Bacteria
Description: bacterial SSU rRNA
Rfam family: Bacterial small subunit ribosomal RNA
Source: RNAcentral